UCACGCGUGAUCGUGUGACGAAGCGUGCCUCUCCACCCGGGGGCUCAUAUGAUGAGUGCUUUGAUAGGCACACGCGGGUGUCACCCUAUGUAUUGGGACUGAGCCCACGCCAUAUGUGAUGUGCAGUUGAAGACUGUAUUCGACUGGUACCAGAGUCAAAAUAUCUAAAAUAUCAAGCAUGUUUUAGGUUAAACUGUUUAACCCGUUCUUUCUGCAUAAAAUUUUCUGAAAUUCAUGUUUAGCCCUCUGCACGCACACUUACAGUGGUUUGUGAAACUAUCCUCAUUCCCCUCUUAGCCUUGAUGGCUCUUAAGCACAAGACCAAAGGUUCAAAUCCUCUCUGUAAUAUUUAAUAUUUAUUUAUUUAUGAAGUUGAAAGGUUCAAAUCCCUCAAAAGAUGAGAAAAAACUUAACCAAAUUUAAGUAAAAAUGGUAAAAAUAUAGAGAAAAAACAAAAUUGUUGAAAUAAAAAUGCUAUUUAUUUUUAUAAGUUUUAUCUUAUAUUAAAAUGCAUGUGUUUUAUUCUAGUUUUUAUAUAAUAGCAAUACAAGUGUGAAAGUUCAACAAAGUAUUUUUUUUUCUAUUUUUUUGGGGGUGUUUGAGAAAGAAAGAGCGAGAGGGAGGGGGGGAGGAGGGGGAUCUAAACAUAUUCUUAAUGCAAAGUUGUACGGAUCUAAACAGAUUCUUAAUGCAAAGUUGCACCAGUAACUUGGACUUAUUAGUGAUAUUUAAGAGAAUAGCAUGGUUAACAAGCUCUAAGCCAUCUAUAAACCACCAUGUUCGUAUAGGAACAGCUUGGUAAUUCAUCUUAGGCCACAUAGUUUGCUUUUCUUUAAAAAAGAAAGCGAAAA
Molecule: long non-coding RNA, 851 nt
Filed under: Phoenix dactylifera (date palm)
Lineage: Eukaryota; Viridiplantae; Streptophyta; Magnoliopsida; Arecales; Arecaceae
Description: long non-coding RNA (PDAC_LNC016874)
Source: RNAcentral